RNAcentral lists this ribosomal RNA (176 nucleotides) under uncultured Lactobacillus sp. Its description in RNAcentral is "partial 16S ribosomal RNA". It matches the Rfam family "Bacterial small subunit ribosomal RNA", at positions 328 to 498 of the family's 1533-position model. Lineage: Bacteria; Bacillati; Bacillota; Bacilli; Lactobacillales; Lactobacillaceae. The record is from RNAcentral.
UUCCCUUACUCCUACGGGAGGCAGCAGUAGGGAAUCUUCCACAAUGGACGCAAGUCUGAUGGAGCAACGCCGCGUGAGUGAAGAAGGGUUUCGGCUCGUAAAGCUCUGUUGUUAAGGAAGAACGUGGGUGAGAGUAACUGUCACCCAGUGACGGUAUUAACCAGAAGCCUGUUUCC